CGGAGGGUGCGAGCGUUAUCCGGAAUUACUGGGUUUAAAGGGUGCGUAGGCGGCCAAGUAAGUCAGGAGUGAAAGUUUGCGGCUCAACCGUAAAAUUGCUUUUGAUACUGCUUAGCUAGAAUCAGGAUGAGGUUAGCGGAAUGUGGCAUGUAGCGGUGAAAUGCAUAGAUAUGCCAUAGAACACCAAUUGCGAAGGCAGCUGGCUAGACCUGUAUUGACGCUGAGGCACGAAAGCGUGGGGAGCGAACAGGAUUAGAUACCCUGGUAGUCCACGCCCUAAACGAUGCUCACUCGACGUAUGGCACUAGAUGUUGUGCGUCCAAGGGAAACCGUUAAGUGAGCCACCUGGGGAGUACGACCGCAAGGUUG
Molecule: ribosomal RNA, 369 nt
Filed under: uncultured organism
Description: bacterial SSU rRNA
Rfam family: Bacterial small subunit ribosomal RNA
Source: RNAcentral